GCUGAAGUAGCAAAGUGGGAAUGCAAGAAACCUAAGAUUUCUUUAUCGGGGGUUCGAAUCCUCUCUUCAGUU
RNAcentral lists this transfer RNA (72 nucleotides) under Pentaceraster mammillatus. RNAcentral describes it as "tRNA-Leu". It matches the Rfam family "tRNA". From Rfam's summary of the family: Transfer RNA (tRNA) molecules are approximately 80 nucleotides in length. Their secondary structure includes four short double-helical elements and three loops (D, anti-codon, and T loops). Further hydrogen bonds mediate the characteristic L-shaped molecular structure. tRNAs have two regions of fundamental functional importance: the anti-codon, which is responsible for specific mRNA codon recognition, and the 3' end, to which the tRNAs corresponding amino acid is attached (by aminoacyl-tRNA synthetases). tRNAs cope with the degeneracy of the genetic code in two manners: having more than one tRNA (with a specific anti-codon) for a particular amino acid; and 'wobble' base-pairing, i.e. permitting non-standard base-pairing at the 3rd anti-codon position. The record is from RNAcentral. Lineage: Eukaryota; Metazoa; Echinodermata; Asteroidea; Valvatida; Oreasteridae.